This 406-nucleotide ribosomal RNA is filed under the name uncultured bacterium. RNAcentral's name for it is "partial 16S ribosomal RNA". It matches the Rfam family "Bacterial small subunit ribosomal RNA", at positions 29 to 526 of the family's 1533-position model. The record is from RNAcentral.
AUUGAACGCUGGCGGCAGGCCUAACACAUGCAAGUCGAACGAGUGGCGGACGGGUGAGUAAUGUCUGGGAAACUGCCCGAUGGAGGGGGAUAACUACUGGAAACGGUAGCUAAUACCGCAUACCAUCAGAUUUGCCCAGAUGGGCUUAGCUGGUUGGUGGGGUAACGGCUCACCAAGGCGACGAUCCCUAGCUGGUCUGAGAGGAUGCAGGACCACACUGGAACUGAGACACGGUCCAGACUCCUAGGGGAGGCGGCAGUGGGGAAGAUUGCACAAUGGGGGAAAGCCGGAUGCAGCCAUGCCGCGUGUAUGAAGAAGGCCUUCGGGGUGUAAAGUACUUUCAGCGGGGAGGCGUUACCCGAAGAGGAAGCACCGGCUAACUCCGUGCCAGCAGCCGCGGUAAUUC